UCCCGGAUCCGGGUCGCUGCGUCCGCGUCGUCUCUCCCAGAUGAGAUCGAAGGAUUCUCCCCACCUCCCCUCUGCUGGCGGAAGGAGCAGAAUGUUCCAUUUUCCGUGGAAUAACGGGGUCGUGAACUGAAGUCCGGGUGCUGCCCGCGCCUGCCGUCCUCCCUUCUUGCCGUGGCCUCUUCGGCCUCCCUUCGAGGCCUUCCCCAGGUCAUCUUCAGCUUCACUCAUAUCAGGAACCCACAGAUGUAGCCACACCUUGAAGCCAGUCAUCAGAUGAAAUUACUCCAUCUGCAAAAUUUUGGCUUGAAAGGCCAUGUGGGGACUCAGUGAGAAGACAGCCAUCUGCAAGCCAGGAAGAGAGCUCUCACCUGAAGCUGAAUAGACCAGCACCUUGAUCUUGAACUUCUAGCCUCCAGAACUGUGAGAAAUAAAUUUCUGCAUUUAAGCCA
This is a long non-coding RNA of Lagenorhynchus albirostris (white-beaked dolphin), 449 nucleotides long. RefSeq lists it as uncharacterized. The transcript has 3 exons. The record is from RefSeq and is a predicted model, not a curated record. Lineage: Eukaryota; Metazoa; Chordata; Mammalia; Artiodactyla; Delphinidae.